Long non-coding RNA from Asparagus officinalis (garden asparagus), 3226 nucleotides. RefSeq lists it as uncharacterized. NCBI's taxonomy places the organism in Eukaryota, Viridiplantae, Streptophyta, Magnoliopsida, Asparagales, Asparagaceae. The transcript has 5 exons. The record is from RefSeq and is a predicted model, not a curated record.
AGUAUCAUAUUACAUCCUAAUCAGUAACACCCCCCACCCCCAGUAUACAAGCACAAAAUAUAGCAGCUAUACCAAUCGAAAUAUAACCAAGAUAUUCUCAAAAGAAGCCGAGUACUAACAAAAUUUGUUUUGAAUAUGUCUGGAUUUGGGUGAAUAAGGGAGAAAGAAGACAUUCACCUUGUUCGGAUUGCUUAAAGAUUCCUCGUUGACCAGUACCUCCAGCCCACACGCGCCGUCGGCUGGGGCAAGGAUCACCGUUCCUACGAGUUCCCCGGUCCCAAGAAGGAAGUGGAGGAUUAGCUCGUGGUCGCCGGAUUCAAGCGCAGGUAAUCUAUCAGAUUCAGGGUUCAAAGGUAGACACCAUGAGAAAGUUUGGUAGCAGCAAUCUUGCAAAUAUCUGUAUGCUUAGAAAGAAUUUGUUUGCAGGAAAGAUAAAAAGGACUUGAUGGAGACCCAUAUCGAGGGCAUAACGUACUGAGAAUUAAGCAGCUAGAAACAAGAUUUAUAUGGAGAUGUUAUUGCUGUUGAAGCUCCUAUAUUUUAGAAAACCAAACCUCAGAGAAUGUUCUGAACUGAUUACUGGAACUAGUUACACUGGUAACAAUUGGUUGCAUGCUUCAUUACUGGAAAAUAUGUUAUGCUUUGAGCAAUUUAGUAAAACUCAAUUGCCUCGUCCAAGGAUGAUUCGCUACGAGUAUGUUGUUUCUUCAUGUAUUAUAACUCAUUAUUGAGAAUAUAUAUUGUUUCUUCAUGUAUUAUGACUUACUUUGACCUGCGUAGAUAUUCCACCAAAUAAUUUCAAGUGUUCAUCACGCAGACACCUUUAGCCUCUUGCUUCUCAUUGAAGAGUUUCUGAGAUGAAAUCUUCGAGUCAAUGUUGAGAGACAGGAUUUGAUGAAUUGCUAGCAACCGUUAUGCGACCUGAACGAGAAGCAAUCUCUUUGUGGGUGUGUUGCAGGUAAGGAGAUGCCAGCAAAAGCAAAAGUUCCAGAAAGAGUUUGCAGUCUGUCUCUGUCAUAAGAAGGUUGUUAAUUCAAAUACGUGCAUCAUUUUCUUCGCUAAGGUUACUGCAUUUAGUUUCAACAAAGGUUUUGAUGGACAAAUUAUGGUAUUGAUCCGAACCUUAUUUUCAUGUUAAAAAAAAAAGCUUGUUUGCUUGAUUGAAGAUUGAUUACGGUCACGGUUGUUGAAAAUGUCUGAUGGUUUUUUUCCUAUUAAAACAGGUGUUAGAAUUUAUUUAUGGUCACCAUGGCCGUGGAAGCCAGUAAAUUAUCAACUAAUAUGUUAUUGGGAAAGCUUAAGUCUCUGGAGGAUGUAUCCACUACAGACGGAGCUUACUCUCUGUUUGUCGCAGAAAUGUGUAUUUACGAGCUUUCAUUUAUUAGGAAAAGAAUUCAUAUAGUAUCUGUAGAAAAUCAUAUAGAUAUGCGUAGCCAAACACAAUCCUUAAAACUGGUGCUUAGUAACAGUUCAACUUCAAAAUUUUUAUUGGCACACAUGCCUUUGUCUUGAUUUUCUAACUAAGCCAUUUGUUGCAAUUUUCGACUUCCCUGUAAGAUUUUCUUUGCAGGGCUCUCAUAGGAAAAAAAUUUCCCCAAUUAGGCUGUUUGUUGUUAGCAGUUCAAACACUUUGCUGCACUAAAUAAUUUGCUGACAGUUGUGCUUGUAGAGUGUGCUGUGGAAUUACUCGUAUAGACUUGCUGACAUGCAGGAGUCUGGGCUACACAGCUCCUCAUGUUGGAGAUAGGUUAUCGUAGUUCUCAUUUCUAGCUGAAGUUUGGUUUUGGCGAAUAGUAAGAUAGUAAGAUGCAAGACCCCAGUCAUUUUUUCCGGUUAUUUGAUAUGAGUCCCCCAAAUGAUUGAAAUUUGAAAUUAGUCCUCAAAUCUUGUUACUAUUUUGAAAUUAGCCCCCCGAGUCUUUAACUAAUUUGGGGACUAAUUUCAAAACACUUAGAAGCUUUGGGGGACUAAUUACAAAAUACCCGAUUCACUCACAACCUGAACUGGCUGUAUGCGAAAUUUCAUGUCCAAGUCUUAAGCUAGAUUUCCAUCACUGUCUCAAUUAUAAGAGGUGUAACAUGCAAGCUCGCAGUCAGAAGGCCCGCAAUGCUGCAAUAGUCAGCCCUCGCAUGGUUACACUCAAAAAAUUACUAAAUGAAUCAUCUUAUCUCAACAUCAAUCUCAAACCUAAUAGAGGACCCUCUUAUAUCAUCUAUGCCAUUUCUAUUCAUAUCAAACCAAACAUCUUUCUGUUAGUUGGAAGGCAAAUGGUCCAGAUCAGUAAACUAUUCCUCAACCUGGCUUAGUGUAAAUCAGAAGUAGUCUCAAUGUGCACAUCUAAUGGUUAAACCACCAAGAGCUUAAUCUCAUGAACUCAACCUGAGAUUAUUGAUUACACAUAAUAUCAUCACAGUAUAGUUCAUCAAUAACCACAGUAUAUCAUCAGACAUGCAUAACACAUAUAAAAGCAUCAUCACAGUAUAGUUCAUCAAUAACCACAGUAUAUCAUCAGACAUGCAUAACACAUAUAAAAGCAUCUUUUAUAUGAGAAAAAGGGCCAAUGCUAGUCGACUGAAACAGGGUUAUUAGAGCUUCAACCAACUAAAUCUUGAGUAGACAUAGUUGGGACUUCUCCUUGCAGGAUCUGCACUCUGAACUCCAAUUUAUUGCAAUCCAUCAAUUCAUAGACACAACCAUCCCCAACCUUCAGUUUAUUGUCAAGUGCAAAAUCUCUCCAUCCAGUGUUUAUUCUCUUCAAGGUUAGUUGUCCUGAGUAUUUCGCCUUCCACCUCUUGCCUCUGCAGUAUAAGACCACAUCAACAGAAGAAUUGGGUAGAAAUCGACGGAAACACCGGGGAAUCACCUAUACAUCAAAAUAAAGAGGAAAAAAGGCUUGUGUGACUCAGUGCUUGCAUCCUUGAUAUGAUGGUUAAUAAACCAAUAACAUGCUCACAGUUCAUAAUUACGGAAGCAUAGAGAUACUGUACCAACGAGAAAGGAUCAGUGACUUGGGUCUUCACUACGAUUGACGUGAAGUAUGGAUUUCCUGAAAGUGGGGCUAUUCUAUCUCGCUUGCAGGAUGUGCGAAGAGGAAAAAUUGUGUACCAGCAGAAAAGUCGCACGAACUUUGGGUGAAGAAGUUUUGAUCUUGCAGAGGAACUUGACAGAGAGCCGGGGUGCUAGAACCGCAUCUUGAAGGGUUUUUCUGUAAAUUUUGUUUAACGAG